Molecule: long non-coding RNA, 209 nt
Filed under: Polistes fuscatus (common paper wasp)
Lineage: Eukaryota; Metazoa; Arthropoda; Insecta; Hymenoptera; Vespidae
Description: uncharacterized LOC122516132
Source: RNAcentral
AAACAUUCGCCUUUUUAGUGAACGUGUUUGCACGUUAGACAUUGUAAGAGCUUCCUAUCUUGGUCAGAUCUUUCGCGAACUAUAGUUACUGCUAACCCGAAUUGCUAAGGUAGAAAUGUAAACGUGUUACUGAGUGCUGUACUUUUUCUGGGUACUUUGCUUUUCAAAAAACGUUGGAAAUAGAGAUAAAGAACUAGUAGUAAGACAAA